AGAGUGCGAACUGGUGAGUAACACGUAGGUGAUCUACCUUGACGCCUGGGAUAGCGUGUGGAAACACAGGGUAAGACCGGAUGAGCCCCUGUACUUGCGGGUAGAGGGGGAAAGGUGCUAUGGCACCGNCUUAAGAUGAGCCUGCGUACCAUUAGUUAGUUGGUGGGGUAAAGGCCUACCAAGGCGACGAUGGGUAGCCGGCCUGAGAGGGUGAUCGGCCACACUGGGACUGAGACACGGCCCAGACUCCUACGGGAGGCAGCAGCUAAGAAUCUUCCGCAAUGGACGAAAGUCUGACGGAGCGACGCCGCGUGAACGAAGAAGGCCGGAAGGUUGUAAAGUUCUUUUGCGGGUGAAGAAUAAGGCGAGGAGGGAAUGCCUCGCUGAUGACGUUAGCCUGUGAAUAAGCCCCGGCUAGUUACGUGCCAGCAGCCGCGGUAACACGUAAGGGGCGAGCGAUGUUCGGAAUUAUUGGGCGUAAAGGGCGUGUAGGCUGUUUAGUCAGCCUGGUGUGAA
RNAcentral lists this ribosomal RNA (516 nucleotides) under uncultured organism. RNAcentral describes it as "bacterial SSU rRNA". It matches the Rfam family "Bacterial small subunit ribosomal RNA", at positions 93 to 598 of the family's 1533-position model. The record is from RNAcentral.